This 274-nucleotide ribosomal RNA is filed under the name uncultured bacterium. RNAcentral's name for it is "partial 16S ribosomal RNA". It matches the Rfam family "Bacterial small subunit ribosomal RNA", at positions 523 to 796 of the family's 1533-position model. The record is from RNAcentral.
AUACAGAGACCCCGAGCGUUAUCCGGAUUUAUUGGGCGUAAAGCGUGUGCAGGCGGACUAAUUAGUCAUGUGUUAAAACUCCGAGCUCAACUCGGUUAUCGCAUAUGAAACGGUUAGUCUAGAGGCAGUGAGAGAUUAGGGGAACUUAUGGUGUAGUAGUAAAAUGCGUUGAUAUCAUAGGGAACAUCCAAGGCGAAGGCAUCUAAUUGGCACUGUUCUGACGCUCAGACACGAAAGCGUGGGUAGCGAAUGGGAUUAGAUACCCCGGUAGUCC